Loxodonta africana (African savanna elephant) is the source of this 71-nucleotide transfer RNA. It matches the Rfam family "tRNA". From Rfam's summary of the family: Transfer RNA (tRNA) molecules are approximately 80 nucleotides in length. Their secondary structure includes four short double-helical elements and three loops (D, anti-codon, and T loops). Further hydrogen bonds mediate the characteristic L-shaped molecular structure. tRNAs have two regions of fundamental functional importance: the anti-codon, which is responsible for specific mRNA codon recognition, and the 3' end, to which the tRNAs corresponding amino acid is attached (by aminoacyl-tRNA synthetases). tRNAs cope with the degeneracy of the genetic code in two manners: having more than one tRNA (with a specific anti-codon) for a particular amino acid; and 'wobble' base-pairing, i.e. permitting non-standard base-pairing at the 3rd anti-codon position. The record is from Rfam. NCBI's taxonomy places the organism in Eukaryota, Metazoa, Chordata, Mammalia, Proboscidea, Elephantidae.
ACUCUUGUGGCACAGUGGUUAAGUGCUAUGGCUGCUAACCAAAGGGUUGGCAGUUCGAAUCUGCCAGGGUG